GGGGAUUUAGCUCAGUGGCAUAAGCACCUGCCUUGCAAGCUGGCGGUCAUGAGUUCAAUCCCCG
RNAcentral lists this transfer RNA (64 nucleotides) under Cavia porcellus (domestic guinea pig). It matches the Rfam family "tRNA". From Rfam's summary of the family: Transfer RNA (tRNA) molecules are approximately 80 nucleotides in length. Their secondary structure includes four short double-helical elements and three loops (D, anti-codon, and T loops). Lineage: Eukaryota; Metazoa; Chordata; Mammalia; Rodentia; Caviidae. The record is from Rfam by way of RNAcentral.